RNAcentral lists this ribosomal RNA (504 nucleotides) under uncultured bacterium. RNAcentral describes it as "partial 16S ribosomal RNA". It matches the Rfam family "Bacterial small subunit ribosomal RNA", at positions 29 to 523 of the family's 1533-position model. The record is from RNAcentral.
AUUGAACGCUGGCGGCAGGCCUAACACAUGCAAGUCGGACGGUAGCACAGAGGAGCUUGCUCCUCGGGUGACGAGUGGCGGACGGGUGAGUAAUGUCUGGGGAUCUGCCCGAUAGAGGGGAUAACCACUGGAAACGGUGGCUAAUACCGCAUAACGUCGCAAGACCAAAGAGGGGGACCUUCGGGCCUCUCACUAUUGGAUGAACCCAGAUGGGAUUAGCUAGGAGGCGGGGUAACGGCCCACCCAGGCGACGAUCCCUAGCUGGUCUGAGGGGAUGACCAGCCACACUGGAACUGAGACACGGUCCAGACUCCUACGGGAGGCAGCAGUGGGGAAUAUUGCACAAUGGGCGCAAGCCUGAUGCAGCCAUGCCGCGUGUAUGAAGAAGGCCUUCGGGUUGUAAAGUACUUUCAGCGGGGAGGAAGGCGAUGUGGUUAAUAACCGCGUCGAUUGACGUUACCGCAGAAGAAGCACCGGCUAACUCCGUGCCAGCCGCCGCAGUAA